RNAcentral lists this non-coding RNA (160 nucleotides) under bovine gut metagenome. Its description in RNAcentral is "Lysine riboswitch". It matches the Rfam family "Lysine riboswitch aptamer". From Rfam's summary of the family: Riboswitches are metabolite binding domains within certain messenger RNAs that serve as precision sensors for their corresponding targets. Allosteric rearrangement of mRNA structure is mediated by ligand binding, and this results in modulation of gene expression. This family includes riboswitches that sense lysine in a number of genes involved in lysine metabolism, including lysC. The record is from RNAcentral.
AGGAUAGAGGCGCAGCUGUCAACAGUAGCGUGGGUGAAAAAGGCCAGGCAAAGCCGUUGCCCGCGGGAAAGGGACCGCUGCCGAAGGUCCGGCGGCUGCAUGCCGGGCCUGGGCAUCCGGAGAAUAUCCGGCUGACUGUCGCGUUUGCGGAGAGCUAUGC